Lynx canadensis (Canada lynx) is the source of this 1720-nucleotide long non-coding RNA. RefSeq lists it as uncharacterized. NCBI's taxonomy places the organism in Eukaryota, Metazoa, Chordata, Mammalia, Carnivora, Felidae. The record is from RefSeq and is a predicted model, not a curated record. The transcript is spliced from 2 exons.
GGUUAAGUUUGAGCGCCACUUUGGGUGUAGAGAUUACUUAAAAAUAAAAUCUUGAAAAACAAAAUAAAACAUGGGAGUUCAUUAGUCACUAAGCCAUGCUCAUGCAUGCCCAGUGAGGUUUCAAAUCAGCUUUGAAUGUUCCUUGAGUAUGAAGGAAUGGCUAAGGAUCACGGAGAGCUGCAGAAAGCCUCCAACAAAAAGAAAAAGACCAAAACCAACAAAAAAAAAAAAGUUUUAGAGGAACCAAAAAUAAUACAAGAAACAAAGAAAUUAUAAUUAAUAUUCUUGAAGAGGUAACAGAAGUGCUACACCCAUGAAAAAAGAACAAGAUGCUACAAUACAGGACCAAAGAACAAGAGUUCAUAAAACAUUGUUUUAAAAGAGAGCUAAAAUUUAAAAAUUCAAUGAAAAGGUUGAAAUCUCCCAGAUCACAGCAACUUUUUGAGAUCAAAUUUCUCAACAUCAACACUGGAAGCUAGGCAAUAUGGGAACACCUCCAAACUUUUGAGGGAAAAUGAUUUCCAAUAUACAAACCUCUCAACAGCCAGUCAACUGUGAGGGUAAAAAUAAAAUCCAGCCCCCCCCAAAAAAAUUAUUUCCAACAUACACUUCCACAGUAAUAGUAGAGGAAACCAAAAUGAAGGAAUAAACCAAAAGGAACACAUAGGAUCCAGAAAAAAGGGACUCAACAAAAGUGAAAGAAAUUCUCAGAAUGUCAGCUAAGGGAAGUCCCAAGAUGACAGCUUUGCAGCAGGCCUAAAGAGAAAACAAUCCAGACUAAAGCAGGAAGAAAGACAGCUACAGAAGAGAGGACUACAAGAACAAAUAGAACUGGAAAAAAGAAUAUGGCUGAAAAUUCUCUCCGAAGGGUGGUGGUAUUCCAAAGAGGACCCCAGAAAACACUUGAGAAUACGGAGCGGUGCGGAAGGUACCUUAUGAAACAGCACACUUCGGGCCCUGCACACUACCUCAUUUCCCUAAUAGGGAUGAAAAGCUCGGGCCUCUGGUAGCUUCCAGCUGACGCCAAUGCUCUCCACACCCCUUUUUUGACAGUAUUUUCUGGCGCUGGAGCCUGUGGUCACAAAUACGAAUUCCGCGAUCACGUCUAAACGGUCUAAAUAAUCAAGAAUCUUUUACAAGACCAAACCCUUCGCGAUCCCAUCACCUCCCAUCUCCCUCCGUAGUCCAGCACACCUAAGCGGGUACUCUAGACCGAAUUCUACAAAUCUUUCAGCGCAUUAACUGGGAGAUAGAAACAAUAUUUAAAAAUGAGAGUUUCGGGCAUUCCCCUCGCUGCAACUGAAAUUACAGGCUCCAUUUCCUGUCCCCAAAGGGACUGCAAAAUCGUCCGCUGAGAACGGGACGCCUCCCGCCCCCUCCAGGCUGGCGCCCGCGACCGCCACACUCCCCCUGCCCGGGCCCCGCGGGCGCGAGGAGGUGGCGGGGACGCGGGGACCCGGGGCGCCCUCCCCUCCCCCUCCCAGCGUCAGCACCCACCUCGCGGCAGCGGCUUCACCUCCCCGUUCUCCUCCCGGGCGGCCCCGCUGGCCUCGCCUGCCCCGCCGAGGCCGUGCCUCCUCCUUUCCUUCUCUCGCUUCUCCUUGGGUCGGCGCGGCUUGGCGUUGGCCGAGGAGGUGGCGGCCGGGAGCAAGAGAUGGUGAGGCUGAGCGUGCAGCAGCGUAGGAGGGACCAGCAGUUUGCGCGGCACCGGCUGAGAUGA